Molecule: non-coding RNA, 145 nt
Organism: Gossypium hirsutum (cotton)
Lineage: Eukaryota; Viridiplantae; Streptophyta; Magnoliopsida; Malvales; Malvaceae
Source: Rfam
UGUUAAAAUUUUCAUCCAUUUCUAUUGUUAAAAACUGAUGCGACUGACGAAAUAACCAAAUAAUUACACGCGAUGUGCCAUAUGUAACUCAUGCUGACAUACAAGGAUUAAAUUUUAAUAGUAAAAAUAGAUAAAUUUCUUAACA